GGGUUGUGAGGUUAAGCGACUAAGCGUACACGGUGGAUGCCCUGGCAGUCAGAGGCGAUGAAGGACGUGCUAAUCUGCGAAAAGCGUCGGUAAGGUGAUAUGAACCGUUAUAGCCGGCGAUGUCCGAAUGGGGAAACCCAGUGUGAUUCGUCACACUAUCGUUAACUGAAUACAUAGGUUAACGAGGCGAACCGGGGGAACUGAAACAUCUAAGUACCCCGAGGAAAAGAAAUCAACCGAGAUUCCCCCAGUAGCGGCGAGCGAACGGGGAGCAGCCCAGAGUCUGAAUCAGCUUGUGUGUUAGUGGAACGGUCUGGAAAGUCCGACGGUACAGGGUGAUAGUCCCGUACACCAAAAUGCACAGGCUGUGAACUCGAAGAGUAGGGCGGGACACGUGGUAUCCUGUCUGAAUAUGGGGGGACCAUCCUCCAAGGCUAAAUACUCCUGACUGACCGAUAGUGAACCAGUACCGUGAGGGAAAGGCGAAAAGAACCCCGGCGAGGGGAGUGAAAAAGAACCUGAAACCGUGUACGUACAAGCAGUGGGAGCACCUUCGGGUGUGACUGCGUACCUUUUGUAUAAUGGGUCAGCGACUUAUAUUCUGUAGCAAGGUUAACCGUAUAGGGGAGCCGCAGGGAAACCGAGUCUUAACUGGGCGUUAAGUUGCAGGGUAUAGACCCGAAACCCGGUGAUCUAGCCAUGGGCAGGUUGAAGGUUGGGUAACACUAACUGGAGGACCGAACCGACUAAUGUUGAAAAAUUAGCGGAUGACUUGUGGCUGGGGGUGAAAGGCCAAUCAAACCGGGAGAUAGCUGGUUCUCCCCGAAAGCUAUUUAGGUAGCGCCUCGUGAACUCAUCUUCGGGGGUAGAGCACUGUUUCGGCUAGGGGGUCAUCCCGACUUACCAACCCGAUGCAAACUACGAAUACCGAAGAAUGUUAUCACGGGAGACACACGGCGGGUGCUAACGUCCGUCGUGAAGAGGGAAACAACCCAGACCGCCAGCUAAGGUCCCAAAGUCAUGGUUAAGUGGGAAACGAUGUGGGAAGGCACAGACAGCCAGGAUGUUGGCUUAGAAGCAGCCAUCAUUUAAAGAAAGCGUAAUAGCUCACUGGUCGAGUCGGCCUGCGCGGAAGAUGUAACGGGGCUAAACCAUGCACCGAAGCUGCGGCAGCGACACUAUGUGUUGUUGGGUAGGGGAGCGUUCUGUAAGCCUGCGAAGGUGUGCUGUGAGGCAUGCUGGAGGUAUCAGAAGUGCGAAUGCUGACAUAAGUAACGAUAAAGCGGGUGAAAAGCCCGCUCGCCGGAAGACCAAGGGUUCCUGUCCAACGUUAAUCGGGGCAGGGUGAGUCGACCCCUAAGGCGAGGCCGAAAGGCGUAGUCGAUGGGAAACAGGUUAAUAUUCCUGUACUUGGUGUUACUGCGAAGGGGGGACGGAGAAGGCUAUGUUAGCCGGGCGACGGUUGUCCCGGUUUAAGCAUGUAGGCUGAUUGUCCAGGCAAAUCCGGAUAAUCAAGGCUGAGGUGUGAUGACGAGGCACUACGGUGCUGAAGUAACAAAUGCCCUGCUUCCAGGAAAAGCCUCUAAGCAUCAGGUAACAUCAAAUCGUACCCCAAACCGACACAGGUGGUCAGGUAGAGAAUACCAAGGCGCUUGAGAGAACUCGGGUGAAGGAACUAGGCAAAAUGGUGCCGUAACUUCGGGAGAAGGCACGCUGGUGUGUAGGUGAAGUCCCUGCGGAUGGAGCUGAGACCAGUCGAAGAUACCAGCUGGCUGCAACUGUUUAUUAAAAACACAGCACUGUGCAAACACGAAAGUGGACGUAUACGGUGUGACGCCUGCCCGGUGCCGGAAGGUUAAUUGAUGGGGUUAUCCGUAAGGAGAAGCUCUUGAUCGAAGCCCCGGUAAACGGCGGCCGUAACUAUAACGGUCCUAAGGUAGCGAAAUUCCUUGUCGGGUAAGUUCCGACCUGCACGAAUGGCGUAAUGAUGGCCAGGCUGUCUCCACCCGAGACUCAGUGAAAUUGAACUCGCUGUGAAGAUGCAGUGUACCCGCGGCAAGACGGAAAGACCCCGUGAACCUUUACUAUAGCUUGACACUGAACAUUGAGCCUUGAUGUGUAGGAUAGGUGGGAGGCUUUGAAGCGUGGACGCCAGUCUGCGUGGAGCCAACCUUGAAAUACCACCCUUUAAUGUUUGAUGUUCUAACGUUGGCCCCUUACCGGGGUUGCGGACAGUGUCUGGUGGGUAGUUUGACUGGGGCGGUCUCCUCCCAAAGCGUAACGGAGGAGCACGAAGGUUAGCUAAUCCUGGUCGGACAUCAGGAGGUUAGUGCAAUGGCAUAAGCUAGCUUGACUGCGAGCGUGACGGCGCGAGCAGGUGCGAAAGCAGGUCAUAGUGAUCCGGUGGUUCUGAAUGGAAGGGCCAUCGCUCAACGGAUAAAAGGUACUCCGGGGAUAACAGGCUGAUACCGCCCAAGAGUUCAUAUCGACGGCGGUGUUUGGCACCUCGAUGUCGGCUCAUCACAUCCUGGGGCUGAAGUAGGUCCCAAGGGUAUGGCUGUUCGCCAUUUAAAGUGGUACGCGAGCUGGGUUUAGAACGUCGUGAGACAGUUCGGUCCCUAUCUGCCGUGGGCGCUGGAGAAUUGAGGGGGGCUGCUCCUAGUACGAGAGGACCGGAGUGGACGCAUCACUGGUGUUCGGGUUGUCAUGCCAAUGGCACUGCCCGGUAGCUAAAUGCGGAAGAGAUAAGUGCUGAAAGCAUCUAAGCACGAAACUUGCCCCGAGAUGAGUUCUCCCUGAGACUUUAAGUCUCCUGAAGGAACGUU
This 2825-nucleotide ribosomal RNA is filed under the name Klebsiella pneumoniae. RNAcentral describes it as "bacterial LSU rRNA". It matches the Rfam family "Bacterial large subunit ribosomal RNA". The record is from RNAcentral. Lineage: Bacteria; Pseudomonadati; Pseudomonadota; Gammaproteobacteria; Enterobacterales; Enterobacteriaceae.